AAAGACUUAGUCCUAACCUUACCAUUAAUUUUUGCUAGAAGUAUACAUGCAAGUAUCCGCGCCCCAGUGUAAAUGCCCUUAAUUCUUCACAAGAAAAAGGAGCGGGUAUCAGGCACGCCCAUAGUUGCAGCCCAAGACGUCUUGCUCAGCCACACCCCCACGGGUACUCAGCAGUAACUAACAUUAAGCAAUAAGUGAAAACUUGACUUAGUCAUAGCAAGUAUAGGGUUGGUAAAUCUUGUGCCAGCCACCGCGGUCACACAAGAGACCCAAAUUAAUAGUACACGGCGUAAAGAGUGGUAUUACGAAUAUCAAUAACAACUAAGACCAACAUGCGACUAAGCUGUCAUAAGCCCAAGAUGCAUUUAAGGCCCUUCCUUAACAUGAUCUUAGCACUCUGAUUAAUAGCCCCCACGAAAGCCAAGGCACAAACUGGGAUUAGAUACCCCACUAUGCUUGGCCCUAAAUCUAGAUGUUUAUUCCACCAAAACAUCCGCCCGAGAACUACGAGCACAAACGCUUAAAACUCUAAGGACUUGGCGGUACCCCAAACCCACCUAGAGGAGCCUGUUCUAUAAUCGAUAAUCCACGUUACACCCGACCGCUCCUUGCCAAAACAGCCUAUAUACCGCCGUCGUCAGCUCACCUUCACUGAGAGAACAAUAGUGAGCUUAAUAGCUCUGCCCGCUAAUAAGACAGGUCAAGGUAUAGCCUAUGGAACGGAAGAAAUGGGCUACAUUUUCUAAAAUAGAAUACUCUACGAAAAGGGGAUGUGAAACCACCCCUAGAAGGCGGAUUUAGCAGUAAAGCGAGAUAAUAAAGCUCGCUCUAAGCCGGCCCUGGGGUACGUACAUACCGCCCGUCACCCUCCUCACAAGCAAGCAACUACUAUAAAUAAUAUAUUUAAUAGCUAAAGAUGAGGUAAGUCGUAACAAGGUAAGUGUACCGGAAGGUGUACUUAGCACAU
This 967-nucleotide non-coding RNA is filed under the name Actophilornis africanus (african jacana). Its description in RNAcentral is "12S ribosomal RNA". It matches the Rfam family "Bacterial small subunit ribosomal RNA". The record is from RNAcentral. Lineage: Eukaryota; Metazoa; Chordata; Aves; Charadriiformes; Jacanidae.